GACGAACGCUGGCGGCGUGCUUAACACAUGCAAGUCGAACGGAAAGGCCUGCUUUCCCUUGUGGAUUGCGGGUACUCGAGUGGCGAACGGGUGAGUAACACGUGAGUGAUCUGCCCCCAACUUGGGUAUAAGCCUGGGAAACUGGGUCUAAUUCCCGAUAGGACUGCAGGGUGGUGCCGGUGGUGGAAAACGAUUUUCUAGUGGUUGGGGAUGAGCUCGCGGCCUAUCAGCUUGUUGGUGGGGUAAUGGCCUACCAAGGCGGCGACGGGUAGCCGGCCUGAGAGGGUGGACGGCCACAUUGAGACUGAGAUACGGCCCAGACUCCUACGGGAGGCAGCAGUGGGGAAUAGUGCACAAUGGGCGGAAGCCUGAUGCAGCGACGCCGCGUGGGGGAUGACGGCCUUCGGGUUGUAAACUCCUUUCGACCGCGAGGAAGCCACCUGGUUGGAAGGGUGGUGACGGUAGUGGUAGAAGAAGCACCGGCUAACUACGUG
Molecule: ribosomal RNA, 494 nt
Filed under: uncultured bacterium
Lineage: Bacteria
Description: partial 16S ribosomal RNA
Rfam family: Bacterial small subunit ribosomal RNA
Source: RNAcentral